GACGAACGCUGGCGGCGUGCUUAACAUAUGCAAGUCGAACGGAAAGGCCUCUUUCGGGGGGUACUCGAGUGGCGAACGGGUGAGUAACACGUGAGUAACCUGCCCUUGACUUUGGGAUAACUUCAGGAAACUGGGGCUAAUACCGGAUAGGAGCUCCUGCUGCAUGGUGGGGGUUGGAAAGUUUCGGCGGUUGGGGAUGGACUCGCGGCUUAUCAGCUUGUUGGUGGGGUAGUGGCUUACCAAGGCUUUGACGGGUAGCCGGCCUGAGAGGGUGACCGGCCACAUUGGGACUGAGGUACGGCCCAGACUCCUACGGGAGGCAGCAGUGGGGAAGAUUGCACAAUGGGUGGAAGCCUGAUGCAGCAACGCCGUGUGCGGGAUGACGGCCUUCGGGUUGUAAACCGCUUUCGCUCAUGACGAAGCUUUGUGUGACGGUAGUGGGUAAAGAAGCACCGGCUAACUACGUG
This 467-nucleotide ribosomal RNA is filed under the name uncultured bacterium. RNAcentral's name for it is "partial 16S ribosomal RNA". It matches the Rfam family "Bacterial small subunit ribosomal RNA", at positions 28 to 507 of the family's 1533-position model. The record is from RNAcentral.